AUUGAACGCUGGCGGCAGGCCUAACACAUGCAAGUCGAGCGAGAGGCGGACGGGUGAGUAAUGUAUGGGGACUGCCCGUUAGAGGGGGAUAACUACUGGAAACGGUGGCUAAUACCGCAUACUAUCGGAUAACCCAUAUGGGAUUAGCUAGUUGGUGAGGUAAUGGCGCACCAAGGCGACGAUCCCUAGCUGGUCUGAGAGGAUGACCAGCCACACUGGGACUGAGACACGGCCCAGACGCCUACGGAGGCAGCAGUGGGGAAUGUUGCACAAUUGGCGCAAGCCGGAUGCAGCCAUGCCGCGUGUGUGAAGAAGGCCCUAGGGUUGUAAAGUACUUUAAGUCGGGAGGCGUUACCGACAGAAGAAGCACCGGCUAACUCCGUGCCAGCAGCCGCGGUAAUAC
RNAcentral lists this ribosomal RNA (403 nucleotides) under uncultured bacterium. RNAcentral describes it as "partial 16S ribosomal RNA". It matches the Rfam family "Bacterial small subunit ribosomal RNA", at positions 30 to 526 of the family's 1533-position model. The record is from RNAcentral.